This 70-nucleotide transfer RNA is filed under the name Krisna furcata. RNAcentral's name for it is "tRNA-Lys". Lineage: Eukaryota; Metazoa; Arthropoda; Insecta; Hemiptera; Cicadellidae. The record is from RNAcentral.
CAUUAAGCUUCUCAAAGUGAGUAUUGGUCUCUUAAACCAAAUUUAAUAAAUUAACAAUUAUUCUUAAUGA